GAAAAAUGAUGAUAUUUCAGUUGUGUCCUAUUUUUACAGUGAAGACCUCAGAUCCAACUCUGAUUUCACUCUAGUU
This 76-nucleotide small nucleolar RNA is filed under the name Acanthisitta chloris (rifleman). RNAcentral describes it as "Small nucleolar RNA SNORD19". It matches the Rfam family "Small nucleolar RNA SNORD19". From Rfam's summary of the family: Homo sapiens C/D box snoRNA HBII-108: This snoRNA is the human orthologue of the mouse MBII-108 and is predicted to guide 2'O-ribose methylation of the small 18S rRNA on position G683. snoRNA HBII-108 is encoded in a nucleostemin (NS) gene intron like the HBII-210 Lineage: Eukaryota; Metazoa; Chordata; Aves; Passeriformes; Acanthisittidae. The record is from Rfam by way of RNAcentral.